Molecule: small nucleolar RNA, 118 nt
Organism: Amblyraja radiata (thorny skate)
Lineage: Eukaryota; Metazoa; Chordata; Chondrichthyes; Rajiformes; Rajidae
Product: small nucleolar RNA SNORA26
Exons: 1
Source: RefSeq, a predicted model, not a curated record
UUGUCCAUUUAAGGCAGACAGUGUCUUGGGUGACCAACACGGGGGUAGAUUAUUUUUCUCUCUCAAACCCAAAGCAAAUGUGCAGUCAGUGCUUUGGAUCCUGUCGUGAGGAACAAUU